GGAUUCAAUCCCUAUUCUGGGAAUUUCCAUAGGCUGCUAGUGCAGCCAAAAGAAAAGAAAAGAAAACUAAUUCCAAGUGUGAUCUAUAUAUUCCGGAUCUAUUUAUGACUUUUGAAUGAUACCAUGAGAAUCAAUGACAAAUGACCUGGUUUCUUCUCCAACAUAGCAGCGUGUAAAGAAAAUGGAAGGAAGUGGAGGAGGGUAGGAUGUAGAGAUUAAAAGAGACUUCAGAGACAUCUCAGCCAAUCUCAAGCCUCCAGACCGUGAGACAAUAUGUUUCUGUGCCGAGUUGCCCAUUCUGGAGUCCUUCGUCCUGACAGCCCCAGCAGAUGAAGACGGAGACCACAGCGGUGCUGGGAAAGCUGUCCUUUGUACUGGGGAUGAUGCAUCAAGCUCACCGCACCCUCCUGGCCAGUGGCCCACAUGGUCCUCACCCAGGGGUCAGAUCAAGAAGUGUCCUCACACAGCCUCUCACCUACACCUGGGGAUGGGUGUGUUUAGACUUCAGAAUUCCUCCCAUCUUAGAAAGAACACACACGUGUGUGCCAUGUGUUACCUGACACACCCAGUGUGUCUGAGGCUGCACCUUAAACACACGAACAAAACAUGCUUCUGUCGACUGAUAUCUCAAUAUGGACUAAGAGAGAUAAAUAAAAAAUAGAUCUAA
Sus scrofa (pig) is the source of this 667-nucleotide non-coding RNA. NCBI's taxonomy places the organism in Eukaryota, Metazoa, Chordata, Mammalia, Artiodactyla, Suidae. The record is from RefSeq and is a predicted model, not a curated record.